CCUACGGGAGGCAGCAGUGAGGAAUAUUGGUCAAUGGACGAGAGUCUGAACCAGCCAAGUAGCGUGAAGGAUGACUGCCCUAUGGGUUGUAAACUUCUUUUAUAAAGGAAUAAAACGAGGCACGUGUGCCUUUUUGCAUGUACUUUAUGAAUAAGGAUCGGCUAACUCCGUGCCAGCAGCCGCGGUAAUACGGAGGAUCCGAGCGUUAUCCGGAUUGAUUGGGUUUAAAGGGAGCGUAGAUGGGUUGUUAAGUCAGUUGUGAAAGUUUGCGGCUCAACCGUAAAAUUGCAAUUGAUACUGGCAGUCUUGAGUACAGUUGAGGUAGGCGGAAUUCGUGGUGUAGCGGUGAAAUGCUUAGAUAUCACGAAGAACUCCGAUUGCGAAGGCAGCUUACUAAACUGCCACUGACAUUGAUGCUCGAAAGUGUGGGUAUCAAACAGGAUUAGAUACCCUAGUAGUC
Molecule: ribosomal RNA, 460 nt
Filed under: uncultured bacterium
Lineage: Bacteria
Description: partial 16S ribosomal RNA
Rfam family: Bacterial small subunit ribosomal RNA
Source: RNAcentral